This 28-nucleotide small RNA is filed under the name Bombyx mori (domestic silkworm). RNAcentral describes it as "ovarian small RNA-37930". Lineage: Eukaryota; Metazoa; Arthropoda; Insecta; Lepidoptera; Bombycidae. The record is from RNAcentral.
UUGCUGCCAUUUUUACUUUUCGUGAAAG